GCAAGGGCUGGCAAUGAAAGGUUUUCCCGCUAGUUCCAGUGGUCUGUGAAGCUCUGCAACAUUAGAGUCAUUUGUCUUCAAUAUAGUUUUGAUUGCUCCCUGCUGGCACUCCAGCUUUCAAGUCCACUACUAGAUGUGAGGCUGAAGAUUCUGAAUUACUGCCACACUCUGGAUUUCUUCCUGCUUGGUGUUCAAAAGGAUUUUACUACACCUGAAUUUCAUUAACUUUACCCAACUACCUAGAAAACACAUCUCAGACUUGCCAAG
Molecule: long non-coding RNA, 267 nt
Organism: Peromyscus eremicus (cactus mouse)
Lineage: Eukaryota; Metazoa; Chordata; Mammalia; Rodentia; Cricetidae
Exons: 3
Source: RefSeq, a predicted model, not a curated record